RNAcentral lists this ribosomal RNA (322 nucleotides) under uncultured eukaryote. Its description in RNAcentral is "partial 18S ribosomal RNA". It matches the Rfam family "Eukaryotic small subunit ribosomal RNA", at positions 1470 to 1796 of the family's 1831-position model. The record is from RNAcentral.
CCCUUAGAUGUUCUGGGCUGCACGCGCGCUACACUGAUGCGUUCAACGAGUUUAUGACCUUGCCCGAUAGGGUUGGGUAAUCUUUUUAAAUCGCAUCGUGAUGGGGAUAGAUUAUUGCAAUUAUUAAUCUUCAACGAGGAAUUCCUAGUAAGCGCGAGUCAUCAGCUCGUGCUGAUUACGUCCCUGCCCUUUGUACACACCGCCCGUCGCUCCUACCGAUGGGGUGAUCCGGUGAAUGAUUCGGACUCUGUAGACUCGCCAUGAGUUUUGACGGAGAAAGUCUUGUGAACCUUAUCACUUGGAGGAAGGAGAAGUCGUAACA